CGGUAAAAUUUUUAAGCAAACUUCUAUUUUGCAAAAGGCAAAUUACUUUUUACUUGUUACUUUUGAAUGCAGAAUGCACUCUAAAUCAGGAAAGAGCCAUAAUACAUGUGACUUUAGACUGAGUGCAUUAAUAAGGUAUGUAUCAGAACUAUGGAUUUUUCCCUGCUGAUCUUGCUGUUGCAGUGGCUGAUGAUGCAGCUGGUAAAGAGUGCUUUUCCUUCUCUUAUGAAGGAGACACAAUCUAAAGUGAAAAGAGGACUGGUAGAAAAUAGAUAUAUACUAUAUUACACUGACAUCAGAGCAAAAAACUCACUGGGUAAGUGUGAUUACUUUAGACUAUCAGCCUAUGUAUAAGGCCAGCUUACUUUCUGAUAAUGCUGUAGGCAAGAUUGCUGUCCCACAAUUUCUUACACGUAAGUAAUAUUGAAGACUCUUAGACUUCUGUUGCUUGACUUAAAUUAUGUCCUCAGGGUCACCUGAGUCACCACCUUGGCUUAUACUACAGUACAACAUGUAAAAUAUGUGCAGAGAAGUGGUUUAGAUUUUAGCUGUUUGAAAAUGCAUUGUGUUUGAUGAAACCAGGUUUUCCUCAGCACUUAAUCAAAGUAGUUUUCACUGUAUUGUUUCAUAAACAAAACCCCCCAUCACUGAGUGUGAAUAUUUGAAAAACAUACUUUGUUUUCAAAUUUGAUUCAGGCCAAUGGUGCACGUACAGCUUCUCUCUGGUGGUAUGUAGGUUAAACUGAAAUAUUUCCUUCCAGCAGGAAUUUAUCAUCCAGAGACAGUGAAAUUGGAACACGUUCACUGCUGUGGCUGCUUUGUUGCAGUCAGCCUAGAGUAUGGAUGGGAAACAGACGCAGCAAGAACAAGGUCACCGAGCAGUGAUGUUUGACACGUGUUAAAUUAGUCCAAAACUUCCUUAUUUUAAAGAGGUAAGAAGUUCUCGGUUGGAGCGCUGUAUGAACACAUGAGCUGAUUAAGAGAUGGCUUAGGUAUCUUUAGUUCAGUGAAGGAGCCGUGAAGUUGGAAUGGGCCAAAAAGAACCAGGUAAGCCUUCAGUGCUGCUCCCAUGCUUGCCGGCACAGGCAGGACCUGUGCAGGAGUGCCUGCAGACUGCACCCAAGAGUACCAGCAGUUCAGUCAGCACUGCCUGACGGUUACCCCAUGAUUAGAAGCUCUUCCAGCAGGAGACUAAAGAUGUGCAGCCAAGGCAGCUACCAGCCACCUCACUAGGGAAGGAGGCUCUGAAGGAAAUACAGGAGCUUUAGGAGCUUGGAACUGUGUGUUAUCUGGAAAUGUCUCUUAGCCCAUUUAUCUACCCUGAAUUGUUUUAAGCCAAUGAAUGUAUGCUUAUUGGGAGAGGAAAAUCAGCUUAUUCAUCACCAGUAAUUUUAGAUCACUUUUUCCAUGAUUUUGAACAAUAGUGUAAGCAAAAUUCAAAUAUAAAUUUCUUUAAAUAUAAGUGCCAUUGUCUUUGCCUCUAAAAGUUCUAGCAUAAGUUCAGCUUCUCCCUUUCUUGUGAUCUUUUCUCGAAUAUGAUUUUUAAAUAAUGAAGCACUAUUGACCUCAGUAUAGAAAUAAAUCAGAAAACUGGUAACCAAAACCAUUUCUAGUCUUGUGUGCUCUGUGAAACAGUUCACUGCCUAUGGCACAGUUUCAUACACAGACUUGAAGUACAAGAGAUGAUGCUGAAGCUGGUUUACAUUACCACAGUACUGCCAAAAGCUUUGAGGUGGAAAGCAGUUGAAUGAAUUUUUCUUGCGGAUUGUUUGGUAGUCUGUAUCAGUCUGAUAGGAAGUGAAUGUUACAAAAAUCAGUCUUCCUUCUCUAGGUACUUUUUGGGUAGUGGAUAUGUUGAAAUAUAGAGAAAGUAUACAUAUAAUUAUACGUUUCAAAUGUUUCUUGAUAGACAGUAUAAAAAAAGCUAAAACAACACGGUAUAUAUAGAAACAGGAAAUUUUAAAUACAAAUUAAGUCUUAGCAGUAGUUGGGGCUUCCCACAAUUUUCUUUUCUUUUGUUUGCCUGUGUAGCUCCAAUUUCAUUCUUUUAACGUUUCUAAUCUACUGGGGACGCUUAUAUUGCUGGCUGAAUUUCCUGAAUUUUCAUCCAGCUGAGAAAUGUGGUGCACAAUGUCAGCACAAUACAUAAGUUACAUUCAAAAUCUUGUUAUUGGGCAAAGAAGAAACAAGAUUUUACAUAUAAAUCCAAUAAUUUACUGUUAGUAUCACCAAAAUCUGGACAAUGUAAUUUAAAAAUCAGUAUUAGUUUAGAUCUAAUCAUUGCAGAAUAAUAAUAAUAAUUAGAACACGGGGAAAAAAGGCUUAGUAGAAGUAGCAAUAGAAUUUACAUCAUAAUACACAGACUUAGUUUCUGGGGCUUUUACUGGUGCUAUCUUACCCUUUUUCUGCUCCUUUCAAUCCUAGCGUCAAUGUGGUCAUUCUCAUGGCUUGUGGUGGGUUAUGGCGAGUUAUCAACAUCCAGUGUCCUUUGCCAGGAGAAAAGUGAUGUUUAUGUUGGUCAUUUCUUUCUCACUCUAGGAUCCUCUUGGGUUCAUUUUUAUGUUUGCUAACACAUCUUUACUUCUUGCUUUUUCUUCAUUAGUCUGCAGCACCAUGUUACACCCAGAUUUACCAUAUACGUACUUCAGAUGCUUUUGUGUAUGUUGCGCACCACUUCUUUGUUACCUAAAAUCAGAUUUUAUUUCCAGUAACAAGUCUGCAAUUUCUAACAGGCUACUGGAGGGUUAUUUAUUGCUGUGGGGUUUCCAGGGCCAAGCCUGUGCCUCAUGUCUCAUCCUACUCUCCUAUAACCACAUCCUGUGCCUCCACUUUGCAAAGCUUCUGCUGUUGUACCAGACCUGUGCUUCUCUACACGACAUGUCAAAAUAGUAGCAUGCUACAAAGGAUGACUGCUUGCUACUAUCAAUAUGAAAAAUGUUGCAAUUCCAUACAAAGAAAUGUAAUAAAUUAGCCAUAGACAGUUUGUCAGUUAGAGGAAUUGCUGCCAUGGCUAAACCAGGAAAAACAAAGCUUCAGGCAAGUCAAGAAAAUUCAGACACAGACCAACCUGUGACAAGCCUCAGUCCUGUGGCCUUGCAGACCCAGUAUGAAAUGUAUGGCCUGUUACUAGCAGUGGCAAUAGGGUUUUACAGAGCUACAUGGUUACACACAUGACUGGGAGCCAGCACAGCCAUGAGCUUAACGGCAGUCUGUGGUAUCCCACCUCUAAAGUACCACUGACCUAACAUUUGUGAAGUGGUUUCUCUUCCUCCUUUUUUUUUUCCCAGAAAUUUCAUCUUAGAAUUGCAAAAAAUAAGUCAUCUGAAUGCCUUUCAAAACUGUACUUGUUGAAAUCAACAUGGGGUGAGUAAGGGAAGGAAGUAUAGCAUUUUAAUUUCGUGGCAAAUUUCCAAUAAAUCUGUAUCAGGAAAAGUUUUUGACCAAAGGUGUUAGGAUGUUGAUUUUUUACAUUUCUCUUGUUGUAUUAAUCAUUGGUUAAGAAAGCAUAGAAUAAAUUCUCUUGACUUUGUAAAACACUUGUAACCAUGAAAUAUGCCAUUUUUGAUUGAACAACCAAUUUAAAAUGACUAUUGAAGAUAAAAGGCAGGCUGAAGAUAAAGGGGUAAAAGAAAGAAAAUGGAGCCACAAAUGAACAAAUGUAACAUUUCUUAAUUAGGGAUACCACAACUACUAGGACCACUGACUAGUUUUUGAAGCUGUUUGCACAAACAAGGCUUGAGCAUCAUUGUAGAGUGCUCGGGAAGCAUACUUACUCAAUUUGCCCUUACUUUGCACAGUAUAUAUGAGAGUGCAAAGUGGUUUUGUUAGUGAUGCUUUUUUUCCAACCGUGUCUGACAUAUAAAGAAGAAAUGGGUGGUAAUUCUGUUAUUUUUCUGUGGCCAAGUUCAUGCCCUUUCUUUUAAAGCAAUUACUCAAAGUCCUCAAGCAAUGGUCUGUCCUCAGGAGCUUACCUGGAUUUAAGCUAGAUUUACUAAAGAAUAUGGGAUAUUACUUGAACGUUAUUAUUGUGAAGAAGUUACUGGAAGUUAGGGACUAAUGUUUUAAAGCAUCUGGUUACUGCUUUGGAGCUUUGGAGUAACUUGCAUUGCCUAACAGGACACUGCUUGGAUGGCUGUCUGACCUGGUCCGUGAUGCAGUUCCAGAUGUACAUACCCAAUAAUGAUUCAGACAGAGAGGUAAAUCAGAGAAGGUGUAUGUGACUGUAUCCCUUAAAGAAGAGCCCUGGCUUCUGGGACAGCAGAAGCUCCACAAGUUGUCCCAGCUAUUAGCUCUAGCUAACAAAGUAUCACUGUGUAAUUUAUAAUGUUGCCUGAGAAAUGACAGAACAUCUUUUCAAAGGUAAUAUUUAAUGCUCAAAAGUCAAUAAAAUCUUCAUCAAUCCUGCUGACUUUCCCAGAUAGUAGGCACGGAUUAGCUGGUCAAUGAUUUUAAAUUUUCAGGCUCCUUAUAGUCAAAGUAAUGUAAGCCUACACAAAUAUUUGUUCAGUGAAAGAGCAAUAUAUUAAGCAAUCCAUUAAGUUGACAAAUAUAUGUGAAAUAAGAAAUUAUGGCAGGCUAAUCUCUCUCUUCUUUGUAUGAAGUAAGAAAUGAGUGUAACCUUUUUGACAUUGUCCAAAUGUGUGGUUCAGUCGCCUUUUUUGGGUACCUCAUGCUUUUAAAAUUAAUUCUGUCUAGUAGCUAUCACAGUUAAACAGCAGAGAAAGACAGCAAAAUUGUUAAUCACUUGCUGAAAAUGAGAUAAGUCUUCAUUCAGGUGUAAAGUUGCAGUCACUUUUACAUGAAUCCCUAGGGUUCUAUAUUUUCUUUUCUUUCUUCUUUUCUUUCAAGUGUUAUUGCUUCACAUGUGUAGUUGCCUAAGAACAGUGAAUGGUCAUAUUUCAUUUACCCAGGAAAAAUCUGUCAAUCAUAGCAAGACUUCCAUGAGGUUUAGAAGAAUCCCAUAGGCCCUAGCAAAGCCUAUUCCACUUCACGCUUAGUAUAAACUGCUAGGCCAAUAUUAAAACUUUUGAUGUUCAGGCAGACACGUGGAAGUUGCAUACCCCAGAUGUUCAAAGUAAAAUGUUCACAAACUGACCAGUCAUAGAAGUUUCAUGUUCAAGAUGAAACCGUUUCAAAGGCUGUGCUUUUCAGAAUUUGGUAGGUGAGGCAUUUCUGGAUGAAAAAUCCUGAUUUUUCAAAAUCCCUCAUGCUGAACAUCCUAGAAUAGAGGCAACCAUAAUCUUUAGUUGUUUAGAAAGAUAUCACUGUUAUCCAUGUUUUUAAAAAUGAGAAUGAAUAAAGAUAGUUAAUAUUUUUUUUCAAAUAGCUUUGCUGAAUUACUGCAUCUUGAGAGCUUUCUGAAAUACACAGGGUGUCGUGGUCUCACUCCUGUGAUGUGCUGAGCAUUGACAUCUUAAAACAUCUUCUGCAGCAGGUAAAAUCUUUCAGCACCAAGAGAAAUUUGUAAGGUGGAAAAGCUUCACAAAGAGAGUGAACUGCAGUAAUAUACAAAUAGCAAAUAUGAGAGAGAGUAAAGGAAUGACUUCGUUGGAGAUUGCAACCAUCUGAGCACACUGAAUCAGGAGGCCCUGACUUUGACGGCAACAGGAUAGGAGUAUUUGACCUUGAUGAUAGAGCCCUGUGCCUCUGAAGAGAAAAGAAAAACAACUUUGAGAAAGUUAUCUGAGUGAAGAGACAUAGUCAGUAGAAAAGCAGGGACUUGGCUAACAGAGACUGCACGCAUGAAGUUGCAUAAGGAAGAGGAAGUUAAAGCAAUGGUGAGCUGAUAAGCUACAGCAAGCAAACUGAGCUUUACUGCCUGAGCACCAUGUGUCUCUUGCAUCCUGGCCACUUCAGAGGCUAUUGUGAUGGAUUGACAUGGAGAGCAAUAGCACAGUUGUAUUUGGGAAGACUUCUUCACAGAAUGUCCUGUGCACCAGCUUACAAAGAUGAGGAAAGGUCAUCAUGAAUAUUGGAAGAGGAAUUGUCCCAUUUUCAUUCUUUACUAACCAUAUUCUGACAUGGGAAUGGAUCAAAGCAGAAUAUGAUACCUUCAUCAUUUUCAGGGUGUUUUGCAUGUCUUUUUUGCUUGCAGCUUAGUAAAUAUUGUAAGAUGAGAUCGUAGAUGUCCUUUAGAAAAGAGUAUACAAAUCACAUAAAUUAAAAUUAUUGAAUGAGCAUUUAAUUUAGGAUCACUUGCUUAGAUCUGGUGACAGCUCACCAGGAAAUUUUUGUUCAGUAACCCUUCACAUCUUUGUUGCUCACCUGCAGGUUGUCCAGUUGUUCCGGCAGUGGAUUUUAAUUCCGUGUUGAUCACAAUCUUCAGGCCUCCAUUCAUAUUAUUCCACAUUGUAUGCUGCAAGGCACCAUCAGGAAUGAAUUUGUUGUGUUUAGAGUCUGCAGUUAGCAUCCCAGAAAAGCGGCUAUGAUUAGCCAAAUAAAAGUCUUUCAAAGACAGCCACCAUAACCCAGCUGAAGUGCUGCAGCUGAUGUCACCCUAUUAAAAGUCUGUCUUCUUUUUAAUCAGUGGAUAGAAGAGAUCAUUUUAUUUAAUUCACAAAGUACAUAUAAUGAACUGCCUCUUGCAUAUUGAAACUUUGGGAGGUGACAAAUGGGGAAUGGGCUAGGAGUUUGUCGCUGGGGAUUUUUUUUUUUUGGUUUUGCUUGCUUGCUUGCUCCUUGCUUCUGUACUCCAGUUCAAAUUAUAAUAAACCCACUGAUUCUUCUCAUCCCAGCUUAAUACUGAAUGGCCCGCAGAUAUAUUUGUUGUACAGAAAUACUGCUUUUGUGCUCUGUAGGUCACAGCACCUGAAGGAGCAGAACCUAAAGAGUUACUCACCAUUUCACAGAAAAGUGUGUAGCAGCUCCAUGUGUGUUGCACUUGGUCGCUGACCUGCUUACUGAUAGAAAUGCAGUUUUGGAAGUAAUCUGAUAUCACAGUUUUGCAGUACUCUAGUCCAAAUCUACCAGCCUCCAACAGGGCAGACCUGUUCCCUUGACAUGACCUUGGAGUUGGUAUAAAGGGCAAAAAGGAGAAACAUUCUGAUUCUGAGAGAGCUUUUAAAAAUUAAGGUUAAAUAAAAAUUAUCAAAAUAGGAAAAGCUGUGGAAGGAAAAAAGGGUUUAUUUGUCUUCAGAAUUUAUGUUUACUUUUCAUUAGUCAGAAAUAACAUAUACUCUUGGUCAUAGCAAGCUAAAGCAAAAAUGAGUUGUCUCUUGUCCUUUUGUCUUCCACACACACACACUUGCUCUCUACCCAUCCUCGUUCUCCCUUUUCUCUCUCCUUCUCUCCUUUCUUCUUUACCCUUUGCUCUCUUUCAUGCUGCCUUUCUAUGCCUCUUUCACACACCCUCUGUCUCUGACCCUGCCUCCCUCAUGCUCUGCCUCUCUUCCUAACCCUGGCUCCCACUUCCUGCUCUCUCAUCCUCUCUGCCUUGGAAACAGAUUUUCUCGGGAUGCGUUUCUCCUCCUAGUUCAAAAUUCUUGAUCAUAGGGAUUAAUAUUGCUCCCUUCCCUGCACCCCCCCAAACUUAUAAGAAGAAAGCUUAUUUUUUUAAAAUCUUUCCUGUCUUCCAGCCCCUUAGAAACUUGAUGUCUAUAUUUUCUUAGGGAAAUCAUGAGCAUUAGUAAACAUAUAGAUUUAGCCAUGGUAAGCAAAACAAAUGAAGCAAAACAAAUAUCCUAGGAUAUUGGGAAGAAAUGCAUUGCAAUUUUUAAAAGUAUGACACUCUGGUCUCUGAUUUUCUGCUCAACUAUUCAUU
This is a long non-coding RNA of Strigops habroptila (Kakapo), 7759 nucleotides long. RefSeq lists it as uncharacterized. The record is from RefSeq and is a predicted model, not a curated record. The transcript is spliced from 4 exons. NCBI's taxonomy places the organism in Eukaryota, Metazoa, Chordata, Aves, Psittaciformes, Psittacidae.